AAUAGAUACGGGUAGUCCACGCCGUAAACGAUGAGUGCUAAGUGUUAGAGGGUUUCCGCCCUUUAGUGCUGCAGCUAACGCAUUAAGCACUCCGCCUGGGGAGUACGGCCGCAAGGCUGAAACUCAAAGGAAUUGACGGGGGCCCGCACAAGCGGUGGAGCACGUGGUUUAAUUCGAAGCAACGCGAAGAACCUUACCAGGUCUUGACAUCCUCUGCCAACCCUAGAGAUAGGGUGUUCCCCUUCGGGGGACAGAGUGACAGGUGGUGCAUGGUUGUCGUCAGCUCGUGUCGUGAGAUGUUGGGUUAAGUCCCGCAACGAGCGCAACCCUUGAUCUUAGUUGCCAGCAUUUAGUUGGGCACUCUAAGGUGACUGCCGGUGACAAACCGGAGGAAGGUGGGGAUGACGUCAAAUCAUCAUGCCCCUUAUGACCUGGGCUACACACGUGCUACAAUGGAUGGUACAAAGAGCUGCGAACCCGCGAGGGUAAGCCAAUCUCAUAAAGCCAUUCUCAGUUCGGAUUGUAGGCUGCAAC
This 534-nucleotide ribosomal RNA is filed under the name uncultured bacterium. RNAcentral's name for it is "bacterial SSU rRNA". It matches the Rfam family "Bacterial small subunit ribosomal RNA", at positions 777 to 1311 of the family's 1533-position model. The record is from RNAcentral.